Molecule: ribosomal RNA, 442 nt
Filed under: uncultured bacterium
Lineage: Bacteria
Description: partial 16S ribosomal RNA
Rfam family: Bacterial small subunit ribosomal RNA
Source: RNAcentral
AUGAACGCUGGCGGCAUGCCUAACCCCUGCAAGUCGAUCGGUAAGGCUCUUCGGAGUACACGAGAGGCGGACGGCUGAGUAACGCGUAGGAACACACCCUGCAGUGAGGGAUAAGACACCGAAAGGUGUUCUAAUACCGCAUACGGUCUUCGGAUUAAAGCAUUUAUGCGCUGAAGGAGUGGCCUGCGUCAUAUUAGAUAGUUGGUGAGGUAAUGGCUCACCAAGUCGAUGAUGUGUAGCUGGUCUGAGAGGAUGAUCAGCCAGACUGGAACUGAGACACGGUCCAGACUCCUACGGGAGGCAGCAGUGAGGAAUAUUUCACAAUGAGCGAAAGCUUGAUGGAGCAAUGCCGCGUGCAGGAUGAAGGCCCUCGGGUUGUAAACUGCUUUUAUAAGAGAAGAUUAUGACGGUAACUUAUGAAUAAGGGACGGCUAACUACGUG